This 352-nucleotide unclassified non-coding RNA is filed under the name Hevea brasiliensis (rubber tree). Lineage: Eukaryota; Viridiplantae; Streptophyta; Magnoliopsida; Malpighiales; Euphorbiaceae. The record is from RNAcentral.
AGUGGACGUGAAAUCUCAGCAUCAAGAGAGCGAAGUGCAGAAGCUGUCGGAUGAGCUAAUGGCUUAUGAGAAUUACAUGAAAUUCUAUCAAAUUCCGUAUCUGGAUGGACAAUCAGCUGCACCAAAUACUGCUCAGGAAAGCUUGGUUGAGAAUCUCUGGAACUUCGAUGACGAUGGUGUUGCUUCUCCAGUCACCUCCGCUGCUCUUUAACGACGGCGGAAGCAAUUUGGUUAUCGUAUAUUUGAUGCCUAGUAUCAUGCUUUGUUUUGUAAAAAGAUUACAUUUAUGUUCAAAAUGUAAUUUUUAUGUUUAAAUAUUAAAGCGUUUGUACUUGGAUAAUUCUCCUUAUUA